UUAGCAGUUGACCUUGUCAAUAAGGUGCAUAUUAUAUUAUCAUGAGAAUUACGAGUUUUGGUGUAUUAAAUUGUUCAAUUUUGUAGUUGCUCAUUUUCACCUAAUGAUUUUAUAUACCCAAUUGCUUGGUCACUUUCGUGUCUUUUUAUGUCAUUAAAGAGGAUAAACAGGGCGUGCAUAUACUUGUGAACUGUGCAUCAGAUACACUAUUUAUUAUGUAUAAGCUCUCAGUUUACUUGUGUGUUUGUUGAGAGUGCAUGUAUGUAUUUCGAUUGCUAUUUUGGGCCAUUUGUUGUUGAUACCCUUUCAUGCUUAUCAGCAUGGAGGUGAGGGACGCUUAA
Molecule: unclassified non-coding RNA, 341 nt
Filed under: Hevea brasiliensis (rubber tree)
Lineage: Eukaryota; Viridiplantae; Streptophyta; Magnoliopsida; Malpighiales; Euphorbiaceae
Source: RNAcentral